GAACUUGUUCUACUAGUGGCGAACGGGCGAGUAAUACAUAUUUAACUUACUUUUACGAGGAGGAUAGCAGCUCGAAAGGGCUAUUAAUACUCCAUAGGUUUAUAAACUAAAUUAAAGAGGCUCCUCUGGGGCCUUGCGUAAAACUAGGAAUAUGUCCUAUUAGGUAGUUGGCGGGGUAAAGGCCCACCAAGCCAAUGAUGGGUAGCUGGACUGAGAGGUUGAACAGCCGCAAUGGGAUUGAGAUAUGGCCCAUAUUCCUACGGGAAGCAGCAGUGAGGAAUUUUUCACAAUGGACGAAAGUCUGAUGGAGCAAUACCACGUGAACGAUGAAGGUCUUCUGAUUGUAAAGUUCUUUUAUUUAGGAAAAAAAGCGUGCUAGGAAAUGAGCGCGCCUUGAUGGUACUAAUUGAAUAAGUGACAGCUAACUAUGUGCCAGCAGCUGCGGUAAAACAUAGGUCACGAGCAUUAUCCGGAUUUAUUGGGCGUAAAGGAAGCGUAGGCGGGGAGGUUGAUCCAUUGUUAAAAGCAUUUGCUUAACAAAUGUGUGCAUUGGAGAUCGCCUCCCUAGAGUUAAUCAGGGGGUACUGGAAUUCAAUGUGUAGCGGUGGAAUGCGUAGAUAUAUUGAGGAACACCAGAGGCUAAGGCGAGUGCCUAGGAUAUAACUGACGCUGAGGCUUGAAAGCGUGGGGAGCAAAUGGGAUUAGAUACCCCAGUAGUCCACGCCGUAAACGAUGAGCAUUGGGCAUUUGACAUCUGGUCGAGUGCUGUAGCUAACGCGUUAAAUGCUCCGCCUGGGUAGUAUAUAUGCAAAUAUGAAACUCAAAGAAAU
This 830-nucleotide ribosomal RNA is filed under the name uncultured Mycoplasma sp. RNAcentral's name for it is "bacterial SSU rRNA". It matches the Rfam family "Bacterial small subunit ribosomal RNA", at positions 76 to 910 of the family's 1533-position model. Lineage: Bacteria; Bacillati; Mycoplasmatota; Mollicutes; Mycoplasmatales; Mycoplasmataceae. The record is from RNAcentral.